Molecule: non-coding RNA, 105 nt
Organism: Mus musculus (house mouse)
Lineage: Eukaryota; Metazoa; Chordata; Mammalia; Rodentia; Muridae
Source: Rfam
AUUCUUUUCUGUUUUGAUUCAUCUGUGUUAUGCCUGGGUAUCCAUGCCAUUUUGUGACAUGUGACUACAAACAUGCUGUGGCAUCAGCACAUUACCCCACUGGCA